GGCGAGGUAGCUCAGUUGGCUAGAGCAUGCGGUUCAUACCCGCAGUGUCGUGGGUUCGACUCCCUCCCUCGCUA
RNAcentral lists this transfer RNA (74 nucleotides) under Eubacteriaceae bacterium. Its description in RNAcentral is "tRNA-Met". It matches the Rfam family "tRNA". From Rfam's summary of the family: Transfer RNA (tRNA) molecules are approximately 80 nucleotides in length. Lineage: Bacteria; Bacillati; Bacillota; Clostridia; Eubacteriales; Eubacteriaceae. The record is from RNAcentral.